CCUACGGGGUGCAGCAGUAGGGAAUAUUGCUCAAUGGGGGAAACCCUGAAGCAGCAACGCCGCGUGGAGGAUGAAGGUUUUCGGAUUGUAAACUCCUUUUGUUAGAGAAGAUAAUGACGGUAUCUAACGAAUAAGCACCGGCUAACUCCGUGCCAGCAGCCGCGGUAAUACGGAGGGUGCAAGCGUUACUCGGAAUCACUGGGCGGAAAGAGCGCGUAGGCGGGAUAGCAAGUCAGAUGUGAAAUCCUAUGGCUUAACCAUAGAACUGCAUUUGAAACUGUUAUUCUAGAGUAUGGGAGAGGGAGGUGGAAUUCUUGGUGUAGGGGUAAAAUCCGUAGAGAUCAAGAGGAAUACUCAGUGCGAAGGCGACCUGCUAGAACAUAACUGACGCUGAUGCGCGAAAGCGUGGGGAGCAAACAGGAUUAGAUACCCCUGUAGUC
This 440-nucleotide ribosomal RNA is filed under the name uncultured bacterium. RNAcentral describes it as "partial 16S ribosomal RNA". It matches the Rfam family "Bacterial small subunit ribosomal RNA", at positions 338 to 795 of the family's 1533-position model. The record is from RNAcentral.